UACGUAGGGGGCAAGCGUUGUCCGGAAUCAUUGGGCGUAAAGCGCGUGUAGGCGGUCCGGUAAGUCGGCUGUGAAAGUCAAGGGCUCAACCCUUGAAGGCCGGCCGAUACUGUCGGACUAGAGUCCGGAAGAGGCGAGUGGAAUUCCCGGUGUAGCGGUGAAAUGCGCAGAUAUCGGGAGGAACACCAAUGGCGAAGGCAGCUCGCUGGGACGGUACUGACGCUGAGACGCGAAAGCGUGGGGAGCGAACAGG
Molecule: ribosomal RNA, 253 nt
Filed under: uncultured bacterium
Lineage: Bacteria
Description: partial 16S ribosomal RNA
Rfam family: Bacterial small subunit ribosomal RNA
Source: RNAcentral